This 1280-nucleotide long non-coding RNA is filed under the name Coffea arabica (coffee). RNAcentral describes it as "long non-coding RNA (CARA_LNC004029)". Lineage: Eukaryota; Viridiplantae; Streptophyta; Magnoliopsida; Gentianales; Rubiaceae. The record is from RNAcentral.
GGAUAGCAGCUUCUUUCUCAUCUUGCGGAAACACGCGAUGAAAGGCUAAAUUCUUACUCAAAGUGAAUAAGAAGUCCUCGAAACCACUCUUCUUUUGUACUGCAUGAAGAUUUUGAGACGACUCAGCAGAAGUAUUGAGUUUGCACCUCUUCUUGAACUGACCAUUGUUCUUUAACUUGUCUUUGUUUUGCACCUUGACCUUCAGUGGUGCUGUAGUGUCAUAUGUUGGAGGGGAUGUGCCGUUUGCGGCUGCCGCAGCUGCAGCCAUGGCCCUUCUUGCCUUCCUUUGCCUGAUCCCACAUGCGUUGCAAAGCGACUGAAACAGUGGAUGAAACUCAGAUUAAUUAGAGGAGUGGAAGCAAAAAUUGAGACCAAAACCCGCCAGGAGCAAAAGACUCCUAACCGCUGGUGUGUGUUUGGUUCUCAUAUUAUCGUCUGAUUAUCAUGUAACUAAACGAGAUCAUUCGAAGUUUAAUGAACAAAGAUCAUACCUUAGGGCCUUUUGGACCACUUCUCCAAAGUGGGGUCUUGGUUGUGUUACAAUCAGCGCAAACCCUAAUUGGAGUGUUGCUGAUGUUUGAGGAACUGUUGCUGCUGAAAUGAUCAGCUUCAGGAGAAGCUGAAGUUGGCUGCUUCUGAUGAUCCUCAAAUUUCAUGGUGGUGGUGGUGCUGCUCGUUAUCUCCUUCAGGUCAGGCUUGUUCAUCUUCUGCAUCAACUUCACCUUUGAAGACACCCACUUAUUAUUAACUGGAUUGAUCUCCUCAUGAUCAUCAGCUUGGUUUCCAUUAGUAUUAUUCUUCCACAGAGAUAUCUUUGAGCCUUUGUUAGCCUUCUUCUCUGGAUCCUGUGAUCCAGUGUAUGGAGCAUGAUUUUCAACCUGAGAGAUGAAAGCAAAUUAUUUUUGUUUCCGGUCAGAAAACAUAAAAGCAAAAUAACUAGAGAGUGAAAUAAGAAGAGUAAAGAAGCGAUCGUUGCGAUCACUGAAGCACGGAUUUCUUGUACUGCAUGGAUAUACCUGUUGUUGGUACCGCUGCUGGUGCAUUUGAGCAUGAUAAUCUUCAGUUUGAUCCAGAGCUAUACUGCGGAAACCAGAAGAAGAAACGGAAGAUGACGAGGCCGUUUGGUAAUUUGGAAAGAAGAACUGAGGACGAUCGUGUUCAUCAUGAUCUUGAAUGGGAUCGCGAACAGAAAAAGGAGACGGUGAUGCUGAGGUAAGGUAGUUUGGAAUCAUGGGGAAGAGACAAGGACAAAGAAUUUCGAGUUUUCUGGUUUCUGCUUC